GAUGAACGCUGGCGGCGUGCCUAACACAUGCAAGUCGAACGAAGCACUUUAUUCGAUUUUCUUCGGAGAUGAAGAUUUAGUGACUGAGUGGCGGACGGGUGAGUAACGCGUGGAUAACCUGCCUCACACUGGGGGAUAACAGUUAGAAAUGACUGCUAAUACCGCAUAAGCGCACAGUACCGCAUGGUACGGUGUGAAAAACUCCGGUGGUGUGAGAUGGAUCCGCGUUUGAUUAGCCAGUGGGCGGGGUAACGGCCCACCAAAGCGACGAUCAAUAGCCGACCUGAGAGGGUGACCGGCCACAUUGGGACUGAGACACGGCCCAAACUCCUACGGGAGGCAGCAGUGGGGAAUAUUGCGCAAUGGGGGAAACCCUGACGCAGCGACGCCGCGCGAGCGAUGAAGUAUUUCGGUAUGUAAAGCUCUAUCAGCAGGGAAGAAUAAAUGACGGUACCUGACUAAGAAGCCCCGGCUAACUACGUGCCAGCAGCCGCGGUAA
RNAcentral lists this ribosomal RNA (499 nucleotides) under uncultured bacterium. RNAcentral describes it as "partial 16S ribosomal RNA". It matches the Rfam family "Bacterial small subunit ribosomal RNA", at positions 28 to 523 of the family's 1533-position model. The record is from RNAcentral.